AUAGGCUUAGAAGCAGCCAUUCUUUAAAGAAAGCGUAACAGCUCACUGGUCGAGUGGGUUUGCACCGAAAAUGUAACGGGGCUAAAGCACAUUACCGAAGCUGCGGGUAUCAAAAAAUAUUUAUUUUUUGAUACGGUAGAGGAGCAUUCUGUUAAGGCUGAAGGUUAUUCGUAAGGAUAGCUGGACAUAACAGAAGAGACCAUGCUGACAUGAGUAACGAUAAAGCGGGUAAGAGACCCGCUCGCCG
This 247-nucleotide ribosomal RNA is filed under the name uncultured Symbiodinium. Its description in RNAcentral is "partial Bacterial large subunit ribosomal RNA". It matches the Rfam family "Bacterial large subunit ribosomal RNA", at positions 1100 to 1339 of the family's 2925-position model. Lineage: Eukaryota; Dinophyceae; Suessiales; Symbiodiniaceae. The record is from RNAcentral.